AAUGGCGUGGGGGGAGGGCGUGGCGGGAAUGCUGCCAACCAAGGGGGGGGAAAGAGGCCAAAAGAAGAGGUUAAACCAAGUUGUUCCACUCCUGAUGAUGGGACCUUUGUUGAAUCCUGUGAGCACGUGAUCCUGCCAUCUUUACCUGAAGUGUUGAGUAUGUGAUCCUGCCAUCUUUAUCUCUAAGUGUUAAAGCUAACAGUUUUAAAUGUGUAUCUAUGGACUUUGUGAUGGAAUGCAUGUUUUGUUAAUGUGACAUGUUUUGCUAUUAAAGUGUAAAAAGUU
Long non-coding RNA from Cynoglossus semilaevis (tongue sole), 285 nucleotides. RefSeq lists it as uncharacterized. The record is from RefSeq and is a predicted model, not a curated record. The transcript has 2 exons. NCBI's taxonomy places the organism in Eukaryota, Metazoa, Chordata, Actinopteri, Pleuronectiformes, Cynoglossidae.